Rhinolophus ferrumequinum (greater horseshoe bat) is the source of this 111-nucleotide small nuclear RNA. NCBI's taxonomy places the organism in Eukaryota, Metazoa, Chordata, Mammalia, Chiroptera, Rhinolophidae. The record is from Ensembl.
GUACUUGCUUCAGCAGCACAUAUCCUAAAAUUGGAAUGAUACAGAAGAGAAAGGUUAGCGUGGCCCCUGUGCAAAGAUGACACGUGGGUUCAUGAAACGUUCCAUAUUUAA